UACGUAGGUGACAAGCGUUAUCCGGAUUUAUUGGGCGUAAAGCGCGCGCAGGCGGCUCUUCAAGUCUGACGUGAAAUCUCUCGGCUUAACCGGGAGCGGUCGUUGGAAACUGAAGGGCUUGAGGCGAUGAGAGGGGUGUGGAAUUCCCGGUGUAGUGGUGGAAUGCGUAGAUAUCGGGAGGAACAUCAGUGGCGAAAGCGGCACCCUGGCAUUAGCCUGACGCUCAUGCACGAAAGCGUGGGGAGCAAACAGG
This 253-nucleotide ribosomal RNA is filed under the name uncultured bacterium. RNAcentral's name for it is "partial 16S ribosomal RNA". It matches the Rfam family "Bacterial small subunit ribosomal RNA", at positions 524 to 776 of the family's 1533-position model. The record is from RNAcentral.